GGGCCUGUGGCUCAAUGGUAGAGCGUUCGACUCAAUUACCACAGGUCGUGGGUUCGAAUCCCAGGUGGUCCA
Non-coding RNA from Schistocephalus solidus, 72 nucleotides. The record is from Rfam. Lineage: Eukaryota; Metazoa; Platyhelminthes; Cestoda; Diphyllobothriidea; Diphyllobothriidae.